Molecule: small RNA, 70 nt
Filed under: Caenorhabditis remanei
Lineage: Eukaryota; Metazoa; Nematoda; Chromadorea; Rhabditida; Rhabditidae
Description: Nematode sRNA ceN72-3_ceN74-2
Rfam family: Nematode sRNA ceN72-3_ceN74-2
Source: Rfam by way of RNAcentral
CCUAAUGGUCCGGAGUCGGUGGGUUACCCAAAAUUUGAAACCCUCCCAUCGGCACUUCCUUGACCGUUAG